This is a long non-coding RNA of Cephus cinctus (wheat stem sawfly), 908 nucleotides long. RefSeq lists it as uncharacterized. The transcript is spliced from 5 exons. Lineage: Eukaryota; Metazoa; Arthropoda; Insecta; Hymenoptera; Cephidae. The record is from RefSeq and is a predicted model, not a curated record.
CGGCAAUGGAGAAUUCUUACAGGUGUUCGUUUGGAUUGUUACCGCUGAUUGGAACAUGCAUGAACGAUAUGGAGCAUACGACGGCUGCAGAUGGUGCCAAUGAAACUGUCAAAUUCUAAUGGAAUCUAUGUCAUCGAUAUCAGAAAAGGAAUAUGCACUCUACGUACACCGAAUACCUAUAUAUACAGACAUAUACAUAUGGCAUAUGUCACAGUGCACGUGGUGCAGUAGCGAAUAAAGAUUUUUCAUGUCGGAGUCGAAGCUGUCGUCUAGGAAAAUCCUUUCACGCAAAUAUUUUUGUGGGCCCUUCCUCCGUGGGAAGAUGAUCAAAGUGGUCUCUGAAUUUUUCGAAGUGACUGGAUUUUUAUAAAUUGAUGGUUCUCUGAUGGGCUUUCAAUCAUUGGAAUACUUUUGGGAUAGCAAAAUCUGUCAUCCAAAGACGAUGACGGUUAUCAGGAAUUCCGAUUUGGCGCCAACGCAAGAUUGCGCAAUGCACUUCAGUAAGGAACGAAUCAGACGCUUCGUAUAAAUAGAACGAGAGUCUGUUCGAAUUGAUGGGUAUGUAUGUAGAAAUUAGAGUGAGCCAAUGAAUUUAUGCGAAAUACGUCGAUUUAGAAUGAUUCAAUGCACAGUAAUGGGGUUCCUGAAUUUCCAUGAUGUCGGAUAAUCAAGAGCUAUCUUCGAUUCGAUCUAUGUUAAAUCACUGAGACCACGAAAGCUCAGGGGUCUGAAAUGACCAAGGCAUGCACUAUACGUCUAGUAUGUAAAUUUCUCCAAUUGUUGGAAUAACAAAAUAGUCUAAGUAGGUCAUUUGUGAUAUACGAUUUUAGAACAUUAGCGUAUUCUUCGAAGUCAUAUUCUUCGUUUGAAUUUAAUGACGAAACCAACAAUGUUUUUUCCUGAUCCAU